RNAcentral lists this ribosomal RNA (253 nucleotides) under uncultured bacterium. RNAcentral describes it as "partial 16S ribosomal RNA". It matches the Rfam family "Bacterial small subunit ribosomal RNA", at positions 524 to 776 of the family's 1533-position model. The record is from RNAcentral.
UACAGAGACUGCAAGCGUUAUCCGGAUUCACUGGGUUUAAAGGGUGCGUAGGUGGGCAAGUAAGUCAGUGGUGAAAUCUCCGGGCUUAACCCGGAAACUGCCAUUGAUACUAUUUGUCUUGAAUACUGUGGAGGUCAGCGGAAUAUGUCAUGUAGCGGUGAAAUGCUUAGAUAUGACAUAGAACACCAAUUGCGAAGGCAGCUGGCUACACAAAUAUUGACACUGAGGCACGAAAGCGUGGGGAUCAAACAGG